RNAcentral lists this ribosomal RNA (955 nucleotides) under Pseudomonas chlororaphis. RNAcentral describes it as "bacterial SSU rRNA". It matches the Rfam family "Bacterial small subunit ribosomal RNA", at positions 56 to 1006 of the family's 1533-position model. Lineage: Bacteria; Pseudomonadati; Pseudomonadota; Gammaproteobacteria; Pseudomonadales; Pseudomonadaceae. The record is from RNAcentral.
UGCAAGUCGAGCGGUAGAGAGAAGCUUGCUUCUCUUGAGAGCGGCGGACGGGUGAGUAAUGCCUAGGAAUCUGCCUGGUAGUGGGGGAUAACGUUCGGAAACGGACGCUAAUACCGCAUACGUCCUACGGGAGAAAGCAGGGGACCUUCGGGCCUUGCGCUAUCAGAUGAGCCUAGGUCGGAUUAGCUAGUUGGUGAGGUAAUGGCUCACCAAGGCGACGAUCCGUAACUGGUCUGAGAGGAUGAUCAGUCACACUGGAACUGAGACACGGUCCAGACUCCUACGGGAGGCAGCAGUGGGGAAUAUUGGACAAUGGGCGAAAGCCUGAUCCAGCCAUGCCGCGUGUGUGAAGAAGGUCUUCGGAUUGUAAAGCACUUUAAGUUGGGAGGAAGGGUACUUACCUAAUACGUGAGUAUUUUGACGUUACCGACAGAAUAAGCACCGGCUAACUCUGUGCCAGCAGCCGCGGUAAUACAGAGGGUGCAAGCGUUAAUCGGAAUUACUGGGCGUAAAGCGCGCGUAGGUGGUUCGUUAAGUUGGAUGUGAAAUCCCCGGGCUCAACCUGGGAACUGCAUCCAAAACUGGCGAGCUAGAGUAUGGUAGAGGGUGGUGGAAUUUCCUGUGUAGCGGUGAAAUGCGUAGAUAUAGGAAGGAACACCAGUGGCGAAGGCGACCACCUGGACUGAUACUGACACUGAGGUGCGAAAGCGUGGGGAGCAAACAGGAUUAGAUACCCUGGUAGUCCACGCCGUAAACGAUGUCAACUAGCCGUUGGGAGCCUUGAGCUCUUAGUGGCGCAGCUAACGCAUUAAGUUGACCGCCUGGGGAGUACGGCCGCAAGGUUAAAACUCAAAUGAAUUGACGGGGCCCGCACAAGCGGUGGAGCAUGGUGGUUUAAUUCGAAGCAACGCGAAGAACCUUACCAGGCCUUGACAUCCAAUGAACUUUCCAGAGA